RNAcentral lists this ribosomal RNA (254 nucleotides) under uncultured bacterium. Its description in RNAcentral is "partial 16S ribosomal RNA". It matches the Rfam family "Bacterial small subunit ribosomal RNA", at positions 524 to 776 of the family's 1533-position model. The record is from RNAcentral.
UACGUAGGGUGCGAGCGUUGUCCGGAAUUAUUGGGCGUAAAGGGCUCGUAGGCGGUUUGUCGCGUCGGGGAGUGAAAACCCAGGGCUUAACUCUGGGCUUGCUUUCGAUACGGGCAGACUAGAGGUAUGCAGGGGAGAACGGAAUUCCUGGUGUAGCGGUGAAAUGCGCAGAUAUCAGGAGGAACACCGGUGGCGAAGGCGGUUCUCUGGGCAGUAACUGACGCUGAGGAGCGAAAGCGUGGGGAGCGAACAGG